RNAcentral lists this long non-coding RNA (2025 nucleotides) under Schizosaccharomyces pombe (fission yeast). Lineage: Eukaryota; Fungi; Ascomycota; Schizosaccharomycetes; Schizosaccharomycetales; Schizosaccharomycetaceae. The record is from RNAcentral.
CUCAAACGAGUUUUCUAAGGAUUCAUUCAAGAAAGCAGCAUCAUUUUUUCUGAUGAAUAAAGGGGCACCCCCAACUCUACUGCAUUCGAUGUCCAGAUAGUCUUUUUCGUCGAGCUUUUCUUGAGAAAGGAAUCCCAAAUCAACAUCUUCCAUUGUAUACUUUUUCUAGUUUUGGACUAUUUCCUUUUGAUAUGUUGUGCAACUAAGAGUGACAGCUUGAAGAAGAAGAGUUUGGCUCGGCGAUUUACAGAACGUCUACUAAAAAGUUGGGACAUGAUCAAGGGACAUUGUUCAUACUUGAAAGAGUUUAAUUUUUUACAAUCAUAUAUAUCUUAAUUUUUUUUUUUUUUUUUUUUUUUUUUGAUAAAUUUAUUGAAGCCUUAAACGUCUACCAGGAUUUGUAAAAAAAAACAGUAAAAAUGGUCUCAGACCCAUUAAAACUGUAAACAAACAGUUAUAAAAAAAAUAAAAAAAUAAAAGAACUGCUAAAUUAACGGAGAUGAGAAUCUAUUUUACCGUCGAUUCCUUCAAGCAUUUCAAGGAUUUGGCUAUCAAAUAUUCCAUGCCAAGUUAGGACGCGACUGUUAUGCCAAGAGCUUUCUUCUGAUAAGUCAAAAAACUUAAUGGUUUCAUUACUACUGGCAAUAAUGAUAGAGUCAGUCAUUUCGCAGCGGCCAGUUGUUUCAUUUAAUUGGGAUGUAAGGACAGAAUGCACACAUCGAAUAUCAGGAACACUUGGUAAUACAGAGACCAGACAUUCCAACUGUGGCCAACUAUAAACUGCGAAUCUAUGUUGAACUGUUUCGAGAGAGUAUCCAAAAGUAACGGAAAACUCUCGAUACUUUGGAGACCAAUGUAUCGAUGUAAUUUGAGCACCACAAUAAAGCUCGUCUAUUUUCUUACCAUUGAAGCAAUUGUAAAACCUAAUGUGCUUAUCAUGAGAGCCAGCUCCUGUUGCCAGUAAAGAUCUUUGCCAUGGACAAAAAGACAGAGCUUUGACAGCAGCAUUUUGUUGCCAAACAUAAAGUGGUUGUCUUAAAUCUGAACCUUUGAACAAACAUACCCGGUUGUCAUUGCCUCCACUGGCAAACUGUGAGCCAUCAUGAUUCCAUGUUAGUCCACAUACUUGUUCGUCAUGUGCGUUUGUAAUAGUGGCUACCAAAACAGCUUUCGAAGUAGAUUCACUCCAUAUAAUGUCAUAGACAAAUAUGUUUCCAUUUCCUUUGCCAACCAAAAGUCGAUUUGUUUCCAAUACAGGUUUCCAAGCAAGGACUCCGAUAUCUCCUGGAUGAUGAAUGGAAAUUCUUGGAACUCUUUCAUUGUCUUGCCAAAACUGCAAGGUACCAUCUACACGUCCAACAGCAAGAAUGUCACCAUUGUAAGAAUAGGCUACGCUACUAACAUCGUAUAUACUUUCUUCUAACACACGAGUAGGACCCAAUUCUUUAGACCAAAGAUAAAUGUUUUCUGCAAGACCAAUUGCCAAAUCUCCUUUUGGUGACCAAGACAAUAAAGAAGUGUAAAAAUCGUCUCGUAAUUCCGGGGCAUCUAAAAUACGGAACGGUAACAAAUUUUCCGGUGAUCUGUUCUUUUUCUCAUUCAGUUUCCCUUUAUUAUCUUUUUCGCUUGCUACCAUUGUUGGGCAUUUUUGUGUCAUGUCAGACUUUUGAAGUUUUGCGUAAGUGAAAACAUUAUCAUCUCUUUCUACUUCUAAUGCGUAUUCCAAUAACUGCUGAUAAGUCUCUGAUGCAUUUUUGGUUUUGUUUACUAAGUUGCGAGAAAGCGAACUAUGACGGCCCAGAGAAAUGGUAUCUUUAUUAGAUGUCAUGGGGAUAAAUCUAUCCAAUCCAUUACGAGAAGUCAACCUUUGGCUGUUUCUGUAGGAGCCCUUGGGAUAAGACUGAAAUAAAUUUUUUGAGAUCGGACAUACGUUUGCAGUUUCUUUGUUGGAAGGAUCAAUCAACGUAGGAGUAUUAGAACGUUCUGCAUUUUGACCAUAUACCGUAGAUGAAAAAGAAUUCAUUC